UAUAAGUCUCUGCAGAAAAUUUCUCCAUGUCAUAACAUUCACACACGUAAAAUAUUCCAUGUCUAGCACAAUGUCACAAACUACGCAAGCCUUUUGAGCAAAGUGUCUAUGCUUCAUACCACAAAAAGGUGGCAUAGCAAAGCAAUCCAAAUGGGAACGGGGGAAAACUGAUAAAAAUGCUCCCACUAAUUCCUUUGACUAUUUGCAGAAA
Molecule: unclassified non-coding RNA, 211 nt
Filed under: Hevea brasiliensis (rubber tree)
Lineage: Eukaryota; Viridiplantae; Streptophyta; Magnoliopsida; Malpighiales; Euphorbiaceae
Source: RNAcentral